RNAcentral lists this ribosomal RNA (492 nucleotides) under uncultured bacterium. RNAcentral's name for it is "partial 16S ribosomal RNA". It matches the Rfam family "Bacterial small subunit ribosomal RNA", at positions 29 to 507 of the family's 1533-position model. The record is from RNAcentral.
AGUGAACGCUGGCGGUAGGCCUAACACAUGCAAGUCGAACGGCAGCACAGUAAGAGCUUGCUCUUACGGGUGGCGAGUGGCGGACGGGUGAGGAAUACAUCGGAAUCUACUUUUUCGUGGGGGAUAACGUAGGGAAACUUACGCUAAUACCGCAUACGACCUACGGGUGAAAGCAGGGGAUCUUCGGACCUUGCGCUAUUGAAUGAGCCGAUGUCGGAUUAGCUAGUUGGCGGGGUAAAGGCCCACCAAGGCGACGAUCCGUAGCUGGUCUGAGAGGAUGAUCAGCCACACUGGAACUGAGACACGGUACAGACUCCGACGGGAGGAAGCAGUGGGGAAUAUUGGACAAUGGGGGAAAGCCUGAUCCAGCCAUACCGCGUGGGUGAAGAAGGCCUUAGGGUUGGAAAGCCCUUUUGUUGGGAAAGAAAAGCAGUAGGUUAAUACCCCGCUGUUAUGACGGUACCCAAAGAAGAAGCACCGGCUAACUUCGUG